This 342-nucleotide ribosomal RNA is filed under the name Triticum aestivum (bread wheat). RNAcentral describes it as "partial small subunit ribosomal RNA". Lineage: Eukaryota; Viridiplantae; Streptophyta; Magnoliopsida; Poales; Poaceae. The record is from RNAcentral.
AUGCCAGGAACUCACAAUGACAUCAACGUCCUGCAGAGCUCCCCAGUCUUUGCCAGGCUUGUUGAAGGUCAUUCUCCUCCGGUGAACUUCGAGGUCAAUGGGCGGCAGUACAACAAGGGGUACUAUCUAGCUGAUGGCAUCUAUUCGAGAUGGUCGACAUUUGUGAAGCCAAUCUCAAACCCUAUGCCAGGAGGCAAGAACGCCUGGUUUGCGAGGUUUGCGGGCAUUUGGUGUGCUCCAAUCUCGAUUUUCUGUUGUCCGGUACCCUGCUCAGACCUAGUCGAAAGAUCAAAUGCGGGAGAUCAUGACUUGCUGUGUCAUCUUGCACAACAUGAUCAUUGA